CUCUUCCGAUCCUUUUUCUCCUCUCCCGAAUCUGUCGUUUCCUCCUCCUCGAGUUGACCGUCGGCCACCGGGUGACGACUCCGACGACCACGAUGGUCGGACGUCUCCGAGCAGAUCCCAUAGUCCUCGCCGCGAGAUGCAGUUGUGACAGGGGCGGCGACCAAACCAUUCCGCGGUCUGCUUACGCCACCACUGGCCCACUGCCUCAUCAAUCGCUGGCACCGCUCUUCCCCUUCAGCGUGCCUCACUACUACCAGCCCCUCUUGGCUACUAAACUGUCAGUCGAGCUCUCUCUGUGUUCUCGAUCCAUCGCCGAUGCCCUCCCCUUGCCGCGUUGCCCCUUUUCUUUCCGGUCAACGACGCUGGUAGCUAGGGCAGAUCAAGCAUCGCUACAGCUGGUCAUCAUUUGUCAUUACUGCCAUCGCCAGAAAGCUAGGACACCAUCGGACUGAGUCACGCCAGUUUGUAACCUAAGUGAGACGUAGGUACUCGGAUCAUAAUGCGGAGGAAAUGAGAUCAGGCUGGUUUCACAGAGCAAUAAUUCACCGUAGUGUAGUUGAUCUGCCAGUUGCUGUGUGCUAAUGUCGAAACACUCAACCACUACCUGGAAGAAGCUGAAUGGUUUCUGAUUCGCGACAGGAGUUCGAUUGGAGGUCAUUUAGUACGACUAUAUGAGCUAAAUUUAAGGCAGUUAACAGGUAGAGGAUGUGUCGUGUCACUUGGAGGUCCUGGCUGCCAGUCCCACAUUACACUCGAGAUCAUGUUUUCUAUGUUGUUUCUAUUGCUAUUUUUAGUUUUGGUUUUCAGACUUGGUUGUGCAAUAAUUACUUUGAUUGUGAUUUCCAUUUUGUGAUGUGUUUUUAUUUGGUUACGGUAUCUGUGGUUAAGUCAUACUGGUACGCAGUGGUGUUAGUUUCUAUUUUUUUGGAGCGGAUUGGGUAAAUCCCUCCCUUGUGUAUGUUUUCUAUUGUUUGUUGUGGGAUUGUGUUAAUCCCUUUACCCUAUUGUUGGCAUGUUUGUUUUUAUAUUCCACUAUGUGAUUAGUAUGAUUUGUGGCUAUGUAUCUAUGUUUCAUUUGUCA
Molecule: long non-coding RNA, 1081 nt
Organism: Zingiber officinale
Lineage: Eukaryota; Viridiplantae; Streptophyta; Magnoliopsida; Zingiberales; Zingiberaceae
Exons: 4
Source: RefSeq, a predicted model, not a curated record